Molecule: microRNA, 21 nt
Filed under: Homo sapiens (human)
Lineage: Eukaryota; Metazoa; Chordata; Mammalia; Primates; Hominidae
Description: hsa-miR-3606-5p
Source: miRBase by way of RNAcentral
UUAGUGAAGGCUAUUUUAAUU